CCGGAGGAAGGUGGGGAUGACGUCAAGUCCUCAUGGCCCUUAUGGGUAGGGCUUCACACGUCAUACAAUGGUCGGUACAGAGGGUUGCCAAGCCGCGAGGUGGAGCCAAAUCCCUUAAAGCCGAUCGUAGUCCGGAUCGUAGUCUGCAACUCGACUACGUGAAGUCGGAAUCGCUAGUAAUCGCAGAUCAGCAUGCUGCGGCGAAUACGUUCCCGGGUCUU
Molecule: ribosomal RNA, 221 nt
Filed under: uncultured Thauera sp.
Lineage: Bacteria; Pseudomonadati; Pseudomonadota; Betaproteobacteria; Rhodocyclales; Zoogloeaceae
Description: partial 16S ribosomal RNA
Rfam family: Bacterial small subunit ribosomal RNA
Source: RNAcentral